RNAcentral lists this ribosomal RNA (1641 nucleotides) under Aquisalibacillus elongatus. RNAcentral describes it as "Bacterial large subunit ribosomal RNA". It matches the Rfam family "Bacterial large subunit ribosomal RNA", at positions 1290 to 2925 of the family's 2925-position model. Lineage: Bacteria; Bacillati; Bacillota; Bacilli; Caryophanales; Bacillaceae. The record is from Rfam by way of RNAcentral.
GAGAAUGCCGGUAUGAGUAGCGAAAAAGAAGUGAGAAUCUUCUUCACCGUAUGCCUAAGGUUUCCUGAGGAAGGCUCGUCCGCUCAGGGUUAGUCGGGACCUAAGCCGAGGCCGAAAGGCGUAGGCGAUGGCCAACAGGUUGAGAUUCCUGUACCACCUCUUUUCCGAUUGAGUGAUGGGGGAACGCAGGAGGCUAAGGGAAGCGCGUCAUUGGAUGAGCGCGCCCAAGCAGCGAGAGUGGUGGAUAGGCAAAUCCGUCCACCGGACGCUUGAGCUGUGAUGGGGAGGGAAUUUAAGUACCGAAGUCCCUGAUGUCACACUGCCAAGAAAAGCCUCUAGCAAGGAAAAAGGUGCCCGUACCGCAAACCGACACAGGUAGGCGAGGAGAGUAUCCUAAGGUGAUCGGGAGAACUCUCGUUAAGGAACUCGGCAAAAUGACCCCGUAACUUCGGGAGAAGGGGUGCUUGUCUAGGUUACGACCUAGCAAGCCGCAGUGAAAAGGCCCAAGCGACUGUUUAUCAAAAACACAGGUCUCUGCGAAGCCGUAAGGCGAAGUAUAGGGGCUGACACCUGCCCGGUGCUGGAAGGUUAAGGGGAUGCGUUAGCCCUAUGGGCGAAGCGUUGAACCGAAGCCCCAGUAAACGGCGGCCGUAACUAUAACGGUCCUAAGGUAGCGAAAUUCCUUGUCGGGUAAGUUCCGACCCGCACGAAAGGUGCAACGACUUGGGCACUGUCUCAACGAGAGACCCGGUGAAAUUAUACUAUGCGUGAAGAUGCGCAUUACCCGCGACAGGACGGAAAGACCCCGUGGAGCUUUACUGUAGCCUGAUAUUGAAUGUUGGUACAGCUUGUACAGGAUAGGUGGGAGCCUUGGAAACCGGAGCGCUAGCUUCGGUGGAGGCACCCGUGGGAUACCACCCUGGCUGUACGGACAUUCUAACCCAGGACCGUGAUCCGGUCCGGAGACAGUGUCAGGUGGGCAGUUUGACUGGGGCGGUCGCCUCCCAAAAGGUAACGGAGGCGCCCAAAGGUUCCCUCAGAAUGGUUGGAAAUCAUUCGCAGAGUGUAAAGGCAGAAGGGAGCUUGACUGCGAGACCUACAAGUCGAGCAGGGACGAAAGUCGGGCUUAGUGAUCCGGCGGUUCCGCAUGGAAGGGCCGUCGCUCAACGGAUAAAAGCUACCCCGGGGAUAACAGGCUUAUCUCCCCCAAGAGUUCACAUCGACGGGGAGGUUUGGCACCUCGAUGUCGGCUCAUCGCAUCCUGGGGCUGUAGUCGGUCCCAAGGGUUGGGCUGUUCGCCCAUUAAAGCGGUACGCGAGCUGGGUUCAGAACGUCGUGAGACAGUUCGGUCCCUAUCCGUCGUGGGCGUUGGAAAUCUGAGAGGCGCUGUCCUUAGUACGAGAGGACCGGGAUGGACACACCGCUGGUGUACCAGUUGUUCCACCAGGAGCACUGCUGGGUAGCUACGUGUGGCAGGGAUAAGUGCUGAAAGCAUCUAAGCAUGAAGCCCCCCUCAAGAUGAGAUUUCCCAUCGCUUCGAGCGAGUAAGAUCCCUCAGAGACGAUGAGGUUGAUAGGUCCGAGGUGGAAGCGUGGUGACACGUGGAGCUGACGGAUACUAAUCGAUCGAGGACUUAACUUC